Long non-coding RNA from Cyprinus carpio (common carp), 816 nucleotides. RefSeq lists it as uncharacterized. Lineage: Eukaryota; Metazoa; Chordata; Actinopteri; Cypriniformes; Cyprinidae. The record is from RefSeq and is a predicted model, not a curated record. The transcript is spliced from 3 exons.
ACCUGAUGUGCUUCAUUUAUUAAUCAUUUUGCAGAAACAGUUAAAAAAAUAUUUCUCUGACCAAAGUGAUCUGAAAGAUUGGACUUCCCUACGUGUAACCUACAAGAAGGACUUGUCCAUUAUUAAUAUUAUGCUGCUACAGAGAAUGAUGGGAAAUGUAGUUUGGUCAUAAUUCUGUGUCCUCAUGAAUCAGCCAAAUAAGCAGUGCUUUCUGGAAAUUGCUAUUUUUCAUUGCUACCCCAGUAUAGACGCAAUUAAUUACAAUUAGCACUACUUGUGCUAUUUAUUAUUGUUGCUAAGACUUCUAGAAAAGAAUAACUGGAAAGGCUAUUCUGAUGAUCCAUUACCUGCUGCAACACACCUGCCGGUAAUUUUGAAGUAAUCCUAUAAACCAUUAUUAGCUGGUUUAGGGCUGGAGCUAAACUGCGUCAUAUUGAUUUCAUACCUGCAUUAAAAUAUGUUGAGAAGAUCUAAUUUCUGCUUUGGGAACAAGAAUGAAUCCUCCCAGGAUAUUUGGGUCUGAGCCCAGCGUGGCCCGUCUCUGAUCGAUGACCCACUCUACGGCUAUCUUUCAGAAAGCUAUGGGACUCGCAAUGACUCACCGUUUCCUCCAGAGAAGACUUUAGGGUCCGGCUGUAUAUAUAAUGAGAUUGGAGUAAACAACAUCUGGCUGAGCUCCUGUAUUUGCUCCUGUGAGACAUCUGCAUAAUUUUUUUUUUUUUUUUUUUUUUUUUUUUGUUAUUCACAACAUUUUGAGAAGAUGCCAAUACUAGAGUUUGUGAAAAGUAGUAAAGUGAAAUAAAACAAAAAAAUUAA